AUGGCAGACAUUGUGGCCGGAAAGAGUGGCAGGACCAUCACUCUCGAGGUUGAUGGCUCAGAUACCAUCUACAGUUUCAAGGCCAAGAUUCUUGACGAGGAGGCCAUCCCCCCGGGCAAUCAGCGCCUGUUCAAUGGUAAGAAGUUGCUGGAGGAUGAGUGUACCCUAGAUUACUACGGCAUGAAAAGUGAAAGUGUCCUGUAUGUGAGUUCUAGGCAGCCGAGGAGAAACAGGGUGCGUCUCUACAUCAACACUUUGAGAGGCAAGACCAUCACUAGUGUUACAGUCUGGAGCUCCACUAUAAUUGGCAAUGUGAAGGCCAAGAUCCACGAUGAGACGGGCAUCCCCCCUUCCCAGCAGUGCCUCUUCUUCAACGGGACGCUACUGGAGGACGGCCGCACCCUAGAGGACUACAACAUCGAGACGGAGUCCACCCUCCGUCUCAAGCUUGCCAUUCCGGGUGCUCCCAGUCCCAGGUGUCAGCUUGCCAUUCCCCUGCUUGGUGGGAAAUGA
Molecule: ribosomal RNA, 513 nt
Filed under: Triticum aestivum (bread wheat)
Lineage: Eukaryota; Viridiplantae; Streptophyta; Magnoliopsida; Poales; Poaceae
Description: partial small subunit ribosomal RNA
Source: RNAcentral